RNAcentral lists this ribosomal RNA (468 nucleotides) under uncultured bacterium. RNAcentral's name for it is "partial 16S ribosomal RNA". It matches the Rfam family "Bacterial small subunit ribosomal RNA", at positions 28 to 507 of the family's 1533-position model. The record is from RNAcentral.
GACGAACGCUGGCGGCGUGCUUAACACAUGCAAGUCGAACGGAAAGGCCCUGCGUUCUUGGGCUGCUCGAGUGGCGAACGGGUGAGUAACACGUGAGUAACCUGCCCUACACUUUGGGAUAACUUCACGAAACUGAAGCUACUACCGUAUAGCAUCCGACGCUGCAUUGAGAGCGUUGGAAAUUUUCGGCGGUCGGGGAUGAACUCGCGGCUUAUCAGCUUGUUGGUUGGGGAGUGGCUUACCAAGGCAGUGACGGGUAGCCGGCCUGGGAGGGUGACCGGCCACAUUGGGCCUGAGAUACGGCCCAGACUCCUACGGGAGGCAGCAGUGGGAAAUAUUGCACAAUGGGCGGAAGCCUGAUGCAGCGGCGCCGCGUGCGGGAUGACGGCCUUUGGGUUGUAAACCGCUUUCGCCUGUGACGAAGCGUGAGUGACGGUAAUGGGUAAAGAAGCACCGGCUAACUACGUG